AGAGGUGCAAGACCUUGGCGCACUGCUCAGUAACACGUGGACAACCUGCCCUGUGGAGGGGGAUAACCCCGUGAAAACUGGGGAUAAUACCCCAUAGGUUAGGGAGGCUGGAAUGCCCCCUAGCUCAAAGGUCCGCCGCCACAGGAUGGGUCUGCGGCCGAUUAGGUUGUUGUUGGGGUAACGGCCCAACAAGCCUUUGAUCGGUACGGGUUGUGGGAGCAAGAGCCCGGAGAUGGAUUCUGAGACACGAAUCCAGGCCCUACGGGGCGCAGCAGGCGCGAAAACUUUACAAUGCGAGAAAUCGUGAUAAGGGAACCCCGAGUGCCCGUAAAUUCGGGCUGUCCGCCAGUGCAAAAAACUGGUGAAGAAAGAGCCGGGCAAGACCGGUGCCAGCCGCCGCGGUAAUACCGGCGGCUCGAGUGGUGGCCACUAUUACUGGGCUUAAAGCGUCCGUAGCUUGGUUGUUAAGUCUCCUGGGAAAUCCAUCGGCUCAACCGAUGGGCGUUCAGGAGAUACUGGCAACCUAGGGACCGGGAGAGGUGAGAGGUACUCCAGGGGUAGGAGUGAAAUCCUGUAAUCCUUGGGGGACCACCUGUGGCGAAGGCGUCUCACUAGAACGGCUCCGACAGUGAGGGACGAAAGCUGGGGGAGCAAACCGGAUUGGAUACCCGGGUAGUCCUAGCCGUAAACGAUACUCGCUAGGUGUCGGCCACGGUGCGACCGUUGUCGGUGCCGUAGGGAAGCCGUGAAGCGAGCCACCUGGGAAGUACGGCCGCAAGGCUGAACUUA
RNAcentral lists this ribosomal RNA (789 nucleotides) under uncultured Methanolinea sp. Its description in RNAcentral is "bacterial SSU rRNA". It matches the Rfam family "Archaeal small subunit ribosomal RNA", at positions 61 to 858 of the family's 1478-position model. The record is from RNAcentral. Lineage: Archaea; Methanobacteriati; Methanobacteriota; Methanomicrobia; Methanomicrobiales; Methanoregulaceae.